CAAUAGCGUAUAUUUAAGUUGUUGCAGUUAAAAAGCUCGUAGUCGGAUUUUGGCUGAGAACGAUCGGUCCGCCGUUAGGUGUGCACUGAUUGGUCUCAGCUUCCUGGUGAGGAGGUGUGCUUCACGGCCACUUAGUCACCGUGGUUACUUUGAGAAAAUUAGAGUGUUCAAAGCGGGCUUACGCUUGAAUAUAUUAGCAUGGAAUAACACCAUAGGACUCCUGUCCUAUUUCGUUGGUCUCGGGACGGGAGUAAUGAUUAAGAGGAACAGUUGGGGGCAUUCGUAUUUCAUUGUCAGAGGUGAAAUUCUUGGAUUUAUGAAAGACGAACUUCUGCGAAAGCAUUUGCCAAGGAUGUUUUCAUUGA
RNAcentral lists this ribosomal RNA (365 nucleotides) under uncultured eukaryote. RNAcentral's name for it is "partial 18S ribosomal RNA". It matches the Rfam family "Eukaryotic small subunit ribosomal RNA", at positions 592 to 976 of the family's 1831-position model. The record is from RNAcentral.